GGCCCAGACUCCUACGGGAGGCAGCAGUGGGGAAUAUUGCACAAUGGGGGAAACCCUGAUGCAGCAACGCCGCGUGGGUGAAGGAGCGUUUCGGCGCGUAAAGCCCUGUCAGCGGGGAAGAAGAAAGACGGUACCCGACCAAGAAGCCCCGGCUAACUACGUGCCAGCAGCCGCGGUAAUACGGAGGAUGCGAGCGUUAUCCGGAUUUAUUGGGUUUAAAGGGUGCGUAGGCGGAAAGCCAAGUCAGCGGUAAAAUCGGGGGGCAAAACCCGGCUCCGCCGUUGAAACUGGCGUUCUUGAGUGGGCGAGAAGUAUGCGGAAUGCGUGGUGUAGCGGUGAAAUGCAUAGAUAUCACGCGGAACUCCGGUUGCGAAGGCAGCAUACCGGCGCCCAACUGACGCUGAAGCACGAAAGCGUGGGUAUCGAACAGGAUUAGAUACCCUCGUAC
This 448-nucleotide ribosomal RNA is filed under the name uncultured bacterium. Its description in RNAcentral is "bacterial SSU rRNA". It matches the Rfam family "Bacterial small subunit ribosomal RNA", at positions 328 to 793 of the family's 1533-position model. The record is from RNAcentral.